AGCGUUGCUCGGAAUUACUGGGCGUAAAGGGCGCGUAGGCGGUUGGAUAAGUCAGCUGUGAAAACCACGGGCUUAACUCGUGGCCUGCAGUUGAGACUGUCUGGCUUGAGUGUGGGAGAGGAGAGUGGAAUUCCUGGUGUAGCGGUGAAAUGCGUAGAUAUCAGGAGGAACACCGGUGGCGAAGGCGGCUCUCUGGACCACAACUGACGCUGAGGCGCGAAAGCUAGGGGAGCAAACAGG
This 240-nucleotide ribosomal RNA is filed under the name uncultured bacterium. RNAcentral describes it as "partial 16S ribosomal RNA". It matches the Rfam family "Bacterial small subunit ribosomal RNA", at positions 537 to 776 of the family's 1533-position model. The record is from RNAcentral.